Molecule: long non-coding RNA, 6110 nt
Organism: Loxodonta africana (African savanna elephant)
Lineage: Eukaryota; Metazoa; Chordata; Mammalia; Proboscidea; Elephantidae
Exons: 2
Source: RefSeq, a predicted model, not a curated record
AAUAUGCUAAAAUUUGCUUUAAUUUUUGGAAAAGGAAAAUCAACACAUACCUUUGAAAAGGAAACCAAGUGUUCCAUAACUGAAUUUAACUUAUAUUUUUAAGUUAUAUUUAACUUGAUAUGUCAACCAACGAUAAUUUGUAUUACCUAGGGCUCAUAACGGAGCCCUGGUACAGCAGUGGUUAUGUGCUCAGCUGCUACCAAAAGGUUGGCAGUUCAAAUCCAUCAGCCCCUUCUUGGAACCCUAUGGGGCAGUUCUGCUCUGUUCUAUGGAGUCGCCAUGAGUCGGAAUCAACACAAACAGCAAUGGGUUCGGUUUGGGUUAGGGCUCAUAACAGUGAUUGAAUCUUUAGUACAGAUGAUCACUUCACUAUGGUAAAAUAAUCUAUGAUGGAAGAACUUCAAAAAUAUCUUUGUAAGGUGGAAACAACUGAAACAUCUAUCAACAGAUGAAUGGAUGAAUAAAAUGCGGUAACCUACAUACAAAUGGAAUAUUAUUCUACCAUAAAGAGAAACGAAGUCAUGAUCCAUGCAGCAACGUGGAAGAACCUUGAAAACAUUACGCUGAAUGAAAUUAGUCAAUCACAAAAGGACAGAUAUUGUAUGAUUUCAUUAAUAUGAAGUAUCUAGAAUAGGCAAAAAUACAGAGAUUAGAGUUUAAUAGUAACUACUAUUUUUGCCUAUCCUAGAUAUUCCAUAGUAAUGAAGGGUGGAGAGAAGGGAAUGAAUCACUGUUUAGGUAACAUAGAGAUUUUGUUUACCGGGAUGGUUAAUUUGGCGAUGGAUAUUGGUGCUGGUUGCACAUGAUUGAUGUAAUUGGUUUUAUUGAAUUAUGCCCAUGAAAGUUAAAUUGUUACCUAUAUUUUUAUGACAACAAAAAUUUUAAAAAAGAAAAAAAAAUAGCUUUGUAAAAUAGUAAGUACCUGGGAAAAUGAGUAGAACUGCCCCAUAGGGCUUCCAAAGAGCAGCUGGUAGAUUUGAACUGCUGACCUUUUGGUUAGCAGCCAAGCUCUUAACCACUGCACCACCAGGGCUCCAUAAUUUAGUGCCAGAAAAAAAGACCAAUAUUAUUUGCACGAGAAUGUUCUGUUAUAAAAUAAGCAACUAUACUAAACCUAAGGAACCCUGAUGACAGCGUGGUUAAAGCGCUUGGCUGCUAACUGAAAAGUCGGUGGUUUGAAUUCACUAGCUAUUCUUCAGGAGAAGGAUGUGGCAGUCUGCUUCCAUAAGGAUUACAGCCUUGGAAAUCCUAUGGGGUAGUUCUACUUGUUCCCUUAGGGUCAUUAUCGGUUGAAAUCGACUUGAUGGCAACAGAUUUGGUUUAGUUUUUUAUACUAAACCUUAGAAGAGGGUAUUAAGAAAUGCUUAUUCACCUUUCACUAGUGUCCCCCGCCCCAGAACAAACAAACAAACAAAAAAACCAGCUGCUGUCAAGUCAAUGCCAACUCAUAGUGACCCUAUAGGAUAGAGUAGAACUGCCACCAUAAUUUCCAAGGAGCAGCCGGUGGAUUUGAACUGCCGACCUUUGGGUUAGUAGCCAUAGCUCUUAACCACUGUGCCACCAGGGCUCACUAGUGACUUAUUUCUGUGUUCUUCAUAACUAAGGAGCAACCCUUGUGCAUUUAGAAGGUGACUGACAAAAAUACGACUUUCUUUUCAGGAACUUACUUUCUGUUAAGUGAAAUUCACCAAAAUGUGCAUAAACAAAUUUGUUCCAUGAAAGUCAGCUGAGGAGUGUUUUGAAUUGUGGUUUUACUGCUAAACAAAACAUUGUUCGUAAUCUUGCUGAUAUAACAUAAAACCCUGAGGGGGAAAUGUGUUCUGAAAUACAGACAUCACAAGGAUUGUAGGGUAGGCUGGAUUGUCACGUGGCUGAGGUUACAAAAGAAAGAAAAAGUUACAAAAUUCAAUACAGCAAAUGAUUUGCAAAUAACCAACUCCUCUUGGUGCGUUAUGAUGAAAUAAAGUCUUUAGAAACAACAAUGCUGACUGUGAUAGUAUUAUAAUGUUAAUAUUUUGGGUACCUUAAAAAGAUGACAUUCUCAACUCUGAAAAUUGAAUAAAAAUUUACAGUAAUUACUCUCAUCUUUACUCGUACCCAUAAGUCAUAUUUUAAACCUGGAAGGAUCUAAGAGGGUUUCUUGUGAAGGUGGCAGAAAUGGUGAAGCACUGGCUACUAACCAAAAGACCUGAAAUUUGAAUCCACGGAGAUGCACCUCAGAAGAAAGGCUUGGCGAUCUACUUCAAAAAAUCGGCCAUUGAAAACCCUGUGGAGGGAGCACAGUUCUACUGUGACACACAUGGGUCGUCAUGCACUGGAGUCAACUCCACCACUGGAGGGCAACUGUUUUGAUUUUGUUUUUGUUUUGUUGUUUUCCUUUGUACUUCGAGGGUAACGUGGAACAUUAGACUUUUACGUGCAGUAAGUUCUUUGGUUAGUUGUAUCCUGCUGUGGUAAUUGUUAACCAGUAAACCAGUUGCCAUCCAGUUAAUUCCAACUCAUGGCAACCCCAUGUAUGUCAGAGUAGAACUGUGCUCCACAGAUUUUUCAAUGGCUGAUUUUUCAGCAGUAGAUCGCCAGGCCUGUCUUCCAAGGUGCCUCUGGGUAGAUUCAAACCUUCAACCUUUCAGUUAGCAGCUGAGUGUGCUACCCAUUUGCACCACCCAGGGGAUCCAUGGGAAUUGUUAGAUAGGUUAUAUUCUUAUUUGUGGAUAUAGUUUUGUACCAGACCACUGAAAGUCCUGAGGAAAGUAACAUGUUCUGAGAAAUAACUACAUUAGUGUUAGUAGCUAACCUAUGAUCAUAGGGCUUAAACUGGUAUUAUGUUUAUCUUAUUACAUCUAUGCAAAUAUUAUUCAAAGGUGAACCAUAGAGUUCUAUGAUUACAAUCUCCCUUGUUUUUUCCCCAGUGCUGUGUACUCUAAGUUCUUAUCAUUAAUUCAUCCCCCACUCUACCAGUGCGUGAAUUCCUCACUUUGCUCUUCUUGGAGCGGCUCCUCCUAGAACAUCCGUCAUCCAGUUCCAGUUCCAGUCAGUAUGGUUGCUUGUUAAGCUUCUUGUGUGGUGGUCAUCGUGGGAUCGCCUUUUAACAUCAUCCUCUCUCUCCUUUUGCCUCCUCUUGCACUGAAGUCCCUGUGUUGUGAGAACCUGCCCUCCUCCCCAUUUUCCUUUUUCUUGUAUUCUUAUUUUGGUGGAGCAAAUGCUCCAUUAAGUUCCUGAGCAAUAGCUCAUGAGAGGUUGUUUUUGUUUCCUAGUGCUGCAACAGAAAUACCACAAGUAGGUGGCUUUAAAGAACAGAAAUUAAUUUUCUUACAGUUCUGGGGGCUAGAAGUCUUGGCUGUGUGGAUGCCUUCCUUGUAGGGGGGACCAGGCAAUCCUUGGUCCCUUGACUUGUAGACAAUUCUCAUAUGGUUUCUGUCUCCACCAAGACACCCUCCCGCACGUGCAUAUCUCUUUGCUCUUUUUAUAAGUCAUAAGUGAUAAGAUUCAGGACCCAUCCAGUUUGGGUAUGACCUAAUUAACAUAAAAAAGAAAACCAUAUUUCCAAACAGGAUUAUACCCACAGGUACAUGGGUUAGGAUUCCAGCACAUAUUUUAGAGGGGAUACAAUUUAAUCCAUAACACAUUUAGGGGGACACAAUUUAAUCCGAAAUAGAGGUAAAUUUUUAAUCCUUCAUAUAUAUGAAAAUGCCUUCAUUCUAUCCUUACACUUUGAUGAUAUACUUUGGAUCAGUAUAGACUUUUAGGUUAGAAAUCAUUUUUCCCUUUACUUUUGAAGGCAUUGCUCAUUGUCUUCUAGCUUCAGGUAUUUCUGUUGAGAAAUUGCAUGCCAUUCGGAACUCCGGUCCUGAGUAUAUGACUUUUUUUUUUUUUGAACCUUAUUAACUAUAAGGACCUAUUCUUUAUCUCUAAUGUUCUAAAAUUUCACAGUGAUGUACUUUUGUGUGAGUCUUUUUAAAAAUUAAUUGUUUUAGGAACUCAGUGCAUGCUGUCAGUCAGGAGGCACCUGUCCUCCAGUCCUGGUGACAGUCUUGCAUUACUUGUUUAUUUUUUCUUUAGUUUCUCUUCUGCAUUUUGGAUGUUGCACCUCCUGGACUGAUCCUUGAUCUUGAUAUUUCUCUUCUAUUUCCCGUCUCCUUGAUUUUGGUUUAUAAAAGAUUUCACUGACUUUAUCUUCCAAACUUUCUAUGAAUUUUUUAUACUUUCCUGUAAAAUAUAGACAUUUAAACAUAAGGUUUUGAAUGUUCCUUGAAAAUAUCAUCGUGUUCCUCUUUCAUGCAUGUACUAUUUUGUUUAUCUCUGAAAAUACUGAUAGAUUUUUUUAUAUUGUUUUUUUUAUCUGUUUCAUCCCAUUUCCUUUUUUUUUCUAUUUGUUUUGAUUUCUAUAUUUCAUGCUAGAAGCUUCCUUUAAGUUUCUACUCUUCUUAGCUCCUAUAUCUGCUCAUUUCAGUGUGCCUCACCUCAGCAAACGUGCCAGCACAUUUAAUCCACAUUCCAUCAACCACCAAGUCUUACUGUGUCUUUGUCCUAGUAUUUCUUGAGGUUUUCUGCUUUUCUCCAUUUGCACCGUAAUGGUUGUAUCUACAUCACUGCAGUAGUCUCCUACAGGACCUUCCCACGUCCAGGGCUUGUCCUCACAUCCGGUCCAUCCUCUAAGCAGCCCAGAGUGAUCUUUUUCAUUAGCUCCUGUAAGGUCCUGCCUACUUGUCCAGCUUCAUCUGAUGCCAUUCCUUCUCUUACCCUGUGUUGCCACAAGGGCCUUUCAGCUCCCGGAAGGAAUCAAGUUUCAUUUCAACUUCCCUUUGCAAGUGCUAUUCCCUUUACCUCGAACACUUUCCUCCAUUUGUCACUUGGCUAAUUUUUAUUCGUCAGCUUAAAAGCCACAUCUUCAAGGGAGCUUUCCUUGAACUCCUAGACUAAUGUUGGUUUCCUUGCAAUAUCUUUCAUAGUCCCCUGAACUUCUUCAAACACCCACCACGACUCUAUUUUGUAAUUAUUUUUUAAUGUCUGUUUUAUCAGCUGGAAACCCUGAUGGCAUAGUGGUUAAGUAUGAUGGCUGCUAGCCAGAAGGUCGGCAGUUCUCAUCCCCCAGGCGCUCCUUGGAAUCUCUAUGGGGCAGUUCUACUCUGUCCUAUAGGGUUGAUAUGAGUUGGAAUCGACUUGAUGGCAAUGGGUUUGGGGUUUAUUUUAUCAGCUAUACCAUAGCUCCCUGAGGACUAAAUUUUCCACCUUGUCAUUUAUUAUUAUCCUGAUUUUUAUCAGUUUUAAUACAGUGGCAUGAAAUAAUUUAACUAGAAGAACUGCUUGUCAAGAAUUCAUAUUGGAGUAGAGUACAUCUACGGUAACUAUGAUUAGAUGCUCGCAGAUAACCUGUGCCUCAGUUGUCUCCUCCUUAAAAGAGGUAUGUUCCUGUCUACCUCAUAGAUUGAUGUUAAGGACCCUAGGGGAGGGGGAAACAACAAACCCAUUGCUGAGAGCCGGUUCUAACUCAAAGUUAAUGCUAUACGGUUUCCAAGGUUAUAAAUCUCUAGGGAAGCAGACUGCCGUAUCUUUGGUGCUUUCAAACCGCUGAUCUUUCUGUUAGCAGUGGACUGCUUUAACCCUGCGCUGAAAUGUUACCACGUGGAAACCCCAGGCUCUGUUUGGCAUGAGUUGAAUUUGCCGAUAAAUGAGAGAUCGAGGUGGGAGAGCAAGAAGGCAAACUUUAUUUCCUUGCGCCAGGAAAAGGAGUCAGUCGGAGCUGCUGCCACUAAGACUCUUCUCUGAAGCCGAGGGGAGAAGUUACUUUUAAGGGGUUUAAAAGUAGGGAGUUCAUACAAAUUAAGUCGGCAACAUUCUUAAUCACACUACGCAGGCGCAAUUGGGUUUACAUACAACUUCUAAGCAAAGAAGGAUUUUAACGCAAAGUCGUGGGGGCGGAAGGCAAGCGAAUGAAACAAGGAUUUUAAUGCAACACUGGGGGAAGAAGCCAAGCAAAGAAAAAGCUUAUCCUGAUGCAUAACUGUUUGGGGUUUUGUCUUAACCGGGACUCCACGUUAAGGACCAAGAUACAGUUAUGACUUUUGCGCGGUACCACACAUGCCCGCAUCAGCCAGCGGACGUUAGCUCAG